RNAcentral lists this ribosomal RNA (330 nucleotides) under uncultured eukaryote. RNAcentral describes it as "partial 18S ribosomal RNA". It matches the Rfam family "Eukaryotic small subunit ribosomal RNA", at positions 1470 to 1796 of the family's 1831-position model. The record is from RNAcentral.
CCCUUAGAUGUCCGGGGCUGCACGCGCGCUACACUGUAGAAAGCAACGUGCUUUAAAACCUUUCCUGAAAAGGAUGGGUAACCCCAGCAAAAUUCUACGUGCUUGGGAUAGAGAUUUGCAAUUUUCUCUCUUGAACGAGGAAUUCCCAGUAAGUGCGAGUCAUCAGCUCGCGUUGAUUACGUCCCUGCCCUUUGUACACACCGCCCGUCGCUACUACCGAUUGGGAAAAUUUUAGAGAGUCCUGGACUGAUGAUUGUUCGGCUUCACGGCCUUACUUUCGUCGGGAAAGAAUUCGAUAAUAUUUUUCUAGAGGAAGUAAAAGUCGUAACA